This 484-nucleotide ribosomal RNA is filed under the name uncultured bacterium. RNAcentral describes it as "partial 16S ribosomal RNA". It matches the Rfam family "Bacterial small subunit ribosomal RNA", at positions 30 to 507 of the family's 1533-position model. The record is from RNAcentral.
AUUGAACGCUGGUGGCAGGCCUAACACAUGCAAGUCGAGCGGAUGAAGGGAGCUUGCUCCUGGAUUCAGCGGCGGACGGGUGAGUAAUGCCUAGGAAUCUGCCUGGUAGUGGGGGAUAACGUCCGGAAAUGGGCGCUAAUACCGCAUACGUCCUGAGGGAGAAAGUGGGGGAUCUUCGGACCUCACGCUAUCAGAUGAGCCUAGGUCGGAUUAGCUAGUUGGUGGGGUAAAGGCCUACCAAGGCGACGAUCCGUAACUGGUCUGAGAGGAUGAUCAGUCACACUGGAACUGAGACACGGUCCAGACUCCUACGGGAGGCAGCAGUGGGGAAUAUUGGACAAUGGGCGAAAGCCUGAUCCAGCCAUGCCGCGUGUGUGAAGAAGGUCUUCGGAUUGUAAAGCACUUUAAGUUGGGAGGAAGGGCAGUAAGUUAAUACCUUGCUGUUUUGACGUUACCAACAGAAUAAGCACCGGCUAACUUCGUG